AGUGGGCAUGGUGGUGCUUGCCUGUAAUCCCAGCAACUCGGGAGCUGAGAAAGGAGGAUCCCAAGUUCAAGGCCAGCCUCAGCAACUUAAUGAGGCCCUAAGCAACUUAGUGAUACCCUGUCAU
RNAcentral lists this small RNA (124 nucleotides) under Marmota monax (woodchuck). Lineage: Eukaryota; Metazoa; Chordata; Mammalia; Rodentia; Sciuridae. The record is from RNAcentral.